GAACUCUCUCUCUCUCUCUCUCUCUCUCUAC
Molecule: small RNA, 31 nt
Filed under: Arabidopsis thaliana (thale cress)
Lineage: Eukaryota; Viridiplantae; Streptophyta; Magnoliopsida; Brassicales; Brassicaceae
Description: ATSL134020
Source: RNAcentral